CGGAGGGUUAGCGUUGUUCGGAAUGACUGGGCGUAAAAGCGCGCGUAGGCGGGCUGGAAAAUUGGGGUGGAAAUCCCGGGGCGUCAACCCCGGAAUGGCCUUCAAAACUCCCAGCCUAGAGUUCGAGAGAGGUGAGUGGAAUUCCGAGUGUAGAGGUGAAAUUCGUAGAUAUUCCGGAGGAACACCAGUGGCGAAGGCGGCUCACUGGCUCGACACUGACGCUGAGGUGCGAAAGCGUGGGGAGCAAACAGGAUU
This 255-nucleotide ribosomal RNA is filed under the name uncultured bacterium. RNAcentral describes it as "partial 16S ribosomal RNA". It matches the Rfam family "Bacterial small subunit ribosomal RNA", at positions 528 to 779 of the family's 1533-position model. The record is from RNAcentral.